RNAcentral lists this ribosomal RNA (253 nucleotides) under uncultured bacterium. RNAcentral describes it as "partial 16S ribosomal RNA". It matches the Rfam family "Bacterial small subunit ribosomal RNA", at positions 524 to 776 of the family's 1533-position model. The record is from RNAcentral.
UACGGAGGAUCCAAGCGUCAUCCGGAUUUAUUGGGUUUAAAGGGUGCGUAGGCGGCCUAUUAAGUCAGGGGUGAAAGACGGUAGCUCAACUAUCGCAGUGCCUUUGAUACUGAUGGGCUUGAAUGUACUUGAAGUGGGCGGAAUGUGACAAGUAGCGGUGAAAUGCAUAGAUAUGUCACAGAACACCGAUUGCGAAGGCAGCUCACUAAAGUAUGAUUGACGCUGAGGCACGAAAGCGUGGGGAUCAAACAGG